RNAcentral lists this ribosomal RNA (253 nucleotides) under uncultured bacterium. RNAcentral's name for it is "partial 16S ribosomal RNA". It matches the Rfam family "Bacterial small subunit ribosomal RNA", at positions 524 to 776 of the family's 1533-position model. The record is from RNAcentral.
UACGGGGGGAGCAAGCGUUGUUCGGAUUUACUGGGCGUAAAGGGCGCGUAGGCGGCGCAACAAGUCACUUGUGAAAUCUCCGGGCUUAACCCGGAGCGGCCAAGUGAUACUGUCGUGCUAGAGUGCGGAAGGGGCUACUGGAAUUCUCGGUGUAGCGGUGAAAUGCGUAGAUAUCGGGAAGAACACCCGUGGCGAAGGCGGCUCUCUGGAACGCAACUGACGCUGAGACGCGAAAGCGUGGGGAGCAAACAGG